GACGAACGCUGGCGGCGUGCUUAACACAUGCAAGUCGAACGCUGAAGCUCAGCUUUUGUUGGGUGGAUGAGUGGCGAACGGGUGAGUAACACGUGAGUAACCUGCCCCCUUCUUUGGGAUAACGCCCGGAAACGGGUGCUAAUACUGGAUAUUCACUGGUCUUCGCAUGGGGGUUGGUGGAAAGGGUUUUUCUGGUGGGUGAUGGGCUCGCGGCCUAUCAGCUUGUUGGUGGGGUGAUGGCCUACCAAGGCUUUGACGGGUAGCCGGCCUGAGAGGGUGACCGGUCACAUUGGGACUGAGAUACGGCCCAGACUCCUACGGGAGGCAGCAGUGGGGAAUAUUGCACAAUGGGCGCAAGCCUGAUGCAGCGACGCCGCGUGAGGGAUGGAGGCCUUCGGGUUGUGAACCUCUUUCGCUCAUGGUCAAGCCGCAACAAUGGUUGUGGUGAGGGUAGUGGGUAAAGAAGCGCCGGCUAACUACGUG
RNAcentral lists this ribosomal RNA (483 nucleotides) under uncultured bacterium. Its description in RNAcentral is "partial 16S ribosomal RNA". It matches the Rfam family "Bacterial small subunit ribosomal RNA", at positions 28 to 507 of the family's 1533-position model. The record is from RNAcentral.